This 440-nucleotide ribosomal RNA is filed under the name uncultured bacterium. RNAcentral describes it as "partial 16S ribosomal RNA". It matches the Rfam family "Bacterial small subunit ribosomal RNA", at positions 338 to 795 of the family's 1533-position model. The record is from RNAcentral.
CCUACGGGAGGCAGCAGUAGGGAAUAUUGCUCAAUGGGGGAAACCCUGAAGCAGCAACGCCGCGUGGAGGAUGAAGGUUUUAGGAUUGUAACCUCCUUUUGUGAGAGAAGAUACUUACGGUAUCUCACGAAUAAGCACCGGCUAACUCCGUGCCAGCAGCCGCGGUAAUACGGCGGGUGCAAGCGUUCCUCGGAAUCACUGGGCGUAAAGGGUGCGCAGGCGGGAUUGUAAGUCAGCUGUGAAAUCACGUAGCUUAACUACAGCACUGCAUUUGAAACUAUGAGGCUAGAGUGUGGGAGAGGUAGGUGGAAUUCUUGGUGUAGGGGUAAAAUCCGUAGAUAUCAAGAGGAAUACUCAUUGCGAAGGCGACCUACUGGAACAUUACUGACGCUCAUGCACGAAAGCGUGGGGAGCAAACAGGAUUAGAUACCCCAGUAGUC